Non-coding RNA from Meleagris gallopavo (turkey), 1760 nucleotides. The record is from RefSeq and is a predicted model, not a curated record. NCBI's taxonomy places the organism in Eukaryota, Metazoa, Chordata, Aves, Galliformes, Phasianidae.
GAUCCACUCUGCUGGAGUUUCAUAAAUGAGCCCAGGAUACAGUCCUGCUUUUAAGAAGCAUUGUGCAGCUAUCUGCUGUGUCGAUCUGUCACACAGACUGUGGCUUUGAAGGUGUCUGCACAAGAGCUGCUAUCCACCCUGCAAAAAUGGAGGGGCAUCUCCAGGGACAGAUACUCCACCACCACCCUGGAUAGCUUGUUCCACUACCUCACCUCUCCUUCUGUGAAGAAGUUCUUCCUAAUUCCCAACCUGAGCUUCCUAUCAGGCUGUAUGUGCACGAAUACACCAAGCAGCAGCUUUAAAGGAUGUCUGAAAGUGAGACCGAAGGAGAACAGGAUGAAGAAUUUCCCAACGAUAAAGGGAAGGUCAUCACAUGAAAAGCUAAAUGUCAUAUUUGUUGCUCAACUUAGUAGCAUUACAUCUGGAAAAAUGUAGCUCUUCAGCUCUGCCACUGAAAUAAGCUGAAGUCAAACAGAAGUCCUUGAGUGCAAACACACAGAUCAGAAUUAAAUUUCCUUCUAACUCCUGGGUAAUAGAGUUCUGUCGGAGCCAGGAGUCAAUUAAGUGGAUAAAUACACACGUAGUUCACUAACACUUAGCAUUUCAGUGGUAUUUUGCUGAAGUAAGCACUUAAUGUGAUUAUUGUGUUUCAGCCUGAUUUAAGAUGACAAGUUUUGCAUUUCCUAAAUAUUAAUUAGCCCUGAAUUUCUAUUUAUUUAAACUCUGAGGCAGCGAGUGGGUAGUUGUGUGAUUUACCUCUACCUCCUGGCACUUAUCUCAACUGGGACAUUUGAAAUGCAAUUCUAAACAAUUAGCCUUCGUGCCUGUCAGCAUAAAGAAUGAAGAAUUGAGGUUGUUUUGUUUAUUUGCAGGAAUGAUCCUCAUACAAACUAUAUCUACAACAAAUGCAGGGAUCUGCUUGUUUGCAGCAGACUGCAGGAUUAGCUUUUUUGAUACCCAGUAAUAGAAAAACAAUAGAUUUUUAGAUAGGGAUUUUGUUGUUUAUUUUUUCAGGGCUGGGCUAUCUCCCUAAGGCUGGCUUUUAGGGACAGUACCAAAGGCACAUGGUGCUGAAUUGCUUGUACUGUGCUGCUGGGGUAAAGCACUCAGGUGCCUGCCCAGCAGGAAAUGCUUUAGCUGGUUGAAUAAUGCCCUUGGAAUGGGAAUGAGAGAGAUGGAUCUGCAGUAGUCCACUGCUGGGCUGGGGCUGCUGCCAUGCAUGUGAAGAAAUCCAUUUCCACAACAGGAGAGCCUUGCCGUAAAGAGAACAUUUUCCAAAUCAGACUCCUUUGUAGCAGCUUGGGGUGGGCUGAAUUCCUCCAGUAGCUCUGAAACCCUCACCCCAUGGCAUCCAAGAACUCACAGGCCAACUGCGAAAGCAUCAUUCAGCUCACCAGUGGCGCAGGGGGAGGAUGGUAUUUAAAUCUUUAAAUGGGCAGAGAUUAAAGGACUCUGGACACCCAGAGCUCCUUUGGAAUUCAAUGGGAGUUUGUGUACUCGGCAACGAAAAUAGUAAUAUUUUUACAGAGCAAUGCCGACUGGAGCAUUGCAGAUCUAUCCCCAGGACUGCUGCUCCAUUUCUCCAAUCCAAUUAUGGCCCUUGUUGCGCACACUUUGCUAUUACUCUAUAUGUAAUGAGGUGAUGGCUGAAGUAUUUCAGCUGUAAUGGAUGAGUGGCAACCAAUUUGCCUUGACACAUGCCUCUUCCUUUUAAAUACUUUCUCUCUUUUAAACACUGAGAAGCUGAAAUAUUUGUCUGU